UUUAAAUAAAUAUUCAGACAAAAUUACCCUCGUCUUACGCUAGUUAAAGUAGCGGAUAUGUAUCUAAUAUUGCGAUUCAAACCCAUUUCAUCCCUGCGAUUCUUCAUUCCCAUUUCAACUGCUAUUCUUCAAACCUUCUUCAUUCCCAUUUCAACUGUUAUUCUUCAAACCCAUUUCAAACGCAUGCGAAUGAGCAGCAAUUUCAGAUCCGCUACCCCCUGCGACUGCCCUGCGACUGUCAUCGAAUAUCCAUGCGAUUCUUCAAACCCAUUUCAAACGCAUGAGAAUGAGCAGCAAUUUCAGAUCCGCUACCCCCUGCGACUGCCCUGCGACUGUUGUCCCCCCUGCGAUUGAACAAUCAAUUUGAUGGAGUUGUCAAUACCCUUACAGGAAUAGCUAAGAAUCAGGUCGCCAUGAACCCGACCAACACUGCUUUUGGUAUGUUCUAAACCAUCUCUGAUUUUAGCACCAGUCAUGUUUUUAUUUUUUAAACUGGUGGCCAUGGGGAAUUGAGUUCAUGUUUGGAUUUAUAUUCAGUAUAUUCUUAUACUCAUUUAAAUUUUGGCUUCCAUAGAAUAUAUUAUUGUAUUAGAUGUAUGUUGAAUUUUGUGAAUUAAUUUUUUUGGGGUUUUAAUGGUGAAUUCAGUUAAAGGUGCUAGUCUUGUGGAUUUAAAUUUCUUUUUAAGGAAUAUCUUUAAUUUUGUAAUAAAUCAGGGAUUAUAACUGGAGAUUUAUUCACCAUAACGUGUGUAGUUUUGAAAAUAGGGACCUUAUACGUAAUAUGAUCUGUAGUCUUAAUGUGUAAGAACUAAGUUUAGGUUCGAUUUUUUAAAUUUUGCUUUAGAUCCAUGAUGCUAUGUUCUGUUUCUUUUGUUUAUAUUGUUGUUUUUUUGAAUUUGUAAGAAUUAAGUUUUUAUGAUUUUUUCGUUUGCUGUUUCAGAUUCAUGAUGUUAUGCUCUGUUUAUAUUGUUGUACUCAUACUUGACUAAAAGCCCUAAAAAGACACUACAAGAAAAACGGCUAAUUCCGACGGAAUAUUCCGUCGAACAUAGUUCUAUUCCGUCGUACAUAAAUUAUUUCCAACGAAAAAUCCCGUCGAAAAAUUGGUCGUAAAUAAUCGCGUCGGAAUUACGAUUCGUCGAAAAUUCUGUCGGAUAUAACGUAUGUUCGACGCACUUAUGUCCGACGGAUAUUCGUCGAAUAUACAUUAGUUUCGACAGAAUAUUUACGACGGAAAUUUCCGUCAGAUCAAAGUGGGUUUAUGUCCGACAGAGGUAUUCUCUCGGAAUUAUAUUAUUUAUGACUGAAAACUAAAAUAAACCAAAAAAUUAUAAAAAAUGUCUACUUAUUAAGGUCGACGGAAUGUCCGUCGGAUAUAGUUUAGUUAUGACGGAUGUAGUUCCGUCGAUGAUGUAGUAUUUACGACUGAAAUUAGAAUAGUUCGACAAAUAUUAAAAAUUGUUUUUGUUAUCUCCGAGGGAAUUUCCGUCGUAAAUACCUUAUUCCGUCGGAAGUAACUACUUUUUUUUUUAAUACAGAUUUUAAAAAGUUCAGUUUCCAGGUGUUUAAACCCAUUAAUGUACCUGUAACCUGUCACAACCCAAUACACAGUAAUAUAAACCUGUAUCUCACAUUCAAAUAUGCAACGUAGCACUAAAACGUAAUCUUCAACUCAUUAUCAUUCACAUUCACAUUCACAUUCACAUUCACAUUCAAAUAUCCACCAAAAUGUAUUAUAAGCUAACCAAUUACAAAUAUAAGCUAAUGUUCCAUAAAUGUUGAACAAUAUAAUUUAUAAUAGUUGUACAGACGCAAUUAGACAAUACAAUAUAUACAAAAGUUCUACAAACUAUACAAAUGAACUACAAACUAUAUAAAUGAACUAUAAACUAGUAAAAGUGGAAUCAUGCAUCGGGCGGAGGUGAACGACGCUGCUCUGGUGGUGUAAGGUUUUCAACCUCGUGCUCCUGCUCGUCAUUGCCAGUUUGCUCGCCAUCGCCACCCUGUUUGAUAGAAUCAAAAAUAUAAAUCAUUAGUCCGUAUAUAUAUAAGUGAGAAUUAACAAACUAGCCUUAAUUGAAAAACAUAAACAAUAAAAAUACCUGAGUAGGUGGGGACGGACGAAAAGCCUCCUCCAAGAGGGUAAUCACCAUCCGGAGCAUCUCGGCGCUCUAUGCGUCGAACUGCUCCCGUGGUAAUCCCGUACUCUCUGCAGAGGCCUCUGCUAUAAUAUCCUGAUCAAUCUGGUGAAGACGAGAACUGGAAGGCCACUGCUUAUGCCGAAAGACCGGAUCGGUAUGGAACCUAUCCGACACGACCCCUAUCAGCCGCCGAAAGAUAUCGUUAUCCAAGCCAGCGCCCGUGUGAGAUGGUCCGACAUGUGCUCUCGGACGCUAGCGCUGGCUGGAGCCUAUAAAGAGAUACAAAUUCAAUUACUAAUAAUAAUUUAUAUAAUGUGAUAAAUUCGGAUAAUUUCGUGAAACAUAAAAAAAUAUUACCUCCAGGAAGUGUAUAUGCGGGUAUCCUCGGCAGACCCAACACUCGAUAUCUGCCGGUACUGCUAGUAGGGGGAUCCUGAGACGCGACCCAUAGUCUCAGCUCCUCAUCCCGAUCUAAUACAAUAUCGGGAAGAGGGGUGGCGGAAUCUAACGGCUCAGAACCCCUCCUAAUAGUCUCUAGCUCAGCUAUACGCUCGUCCCGAAGCUUCUGAAAUCGGUCCUGUAAUGUAUUCCGUAUACGUAUGUUAAUUAUAUCAUUUUAUUUACGAUUGAAUAUUAUUAAAAGCUAAAUAGUAAGAUGAGUUUUACCCGUAUAGCUAAAGCUGCCUGAGACAAAGCACGCUCGUCCUUAGGCGUGUGGGCUCGAUCCCAAAACUCUAGCAUGGUAGGAUCUCGGCCCAAGGUCCUCCCCAAUGCCUAAUACAAACAUUCAUAAAACAGGUCUUAAGUAUUUGUGUGAGAACUUGACACAUAAAUAACUAAAUACAACGCACUUACCGUCUUCGCCUCCUCGAACGACUGAGAACCAGUGGUGUGUACUAUCCGGAGCUGACCACGGUUCUUAUUCGCCUGUUCGGACUUUUUCUUGAAGUCAUCAGCUUCCCAGUACAAGCACAUAGCAUCCCAGGCUAAAUCGGAGACUAUGCGGGGCUGAUGAUCUCUGAUGGUGGUCCCGGGCUGGUCCACAACUGCCCGGGCUGCCUUCUGUCGCAUCUCAUACAGCCAUCCAGAGUAAUUCGCAGCGACGUGAUGCUCAAUCACAGCAUCGCCAGCUGACUGAGAGAUGCUCGGGUCAAAGCGAUAAUAAACCUAUAACAAAAGAUUAUUUAAAAUUAUAAACAAUUAAUUUCGUCAUCCCAAUACAACUAUGUAGUGAUAAUAUGCUUAACUUACGUGGAACUCCCGCAAGACGGUCUGCAUAAAAGUGGCAUCGUACCGCGCAUACUGACUGAACCGCAUGCACCCUCUCGGGAGAUGCGUCAAACAGAUCGCAUGUAGGGUGUGCUUAGCCACCGGGUCUAGUAUACUACAGAAAAAGUAUAACAAUAUGUGUUAUGUGAAUUGUGUUUUGCAAUAACUGAUAGAAAUAGUACGAAUAUAUUAACACUUACUACUGGAAAACGACAUCUACCGGUACUGUAAGUGGUACUGGCGGCGGACGACCAAAGAUACCGAGGUUCGUCCCUCGAUGUCGUCGACAAGGUGCAUCUGUAAUAAUUGUAUUUAACAUAGUACUUCAAUAAUCAUUGUAAUUAAUGCAGCUUGAGAUAUAUUUAAAUCCUAGUUAAGAUAACUUAUUCGCGCUUGAAGAAGAGCCUCCAUCGUGGCUACCGUCUCCAGUAUCGGAUCGCCCACCAACUCGGCGACCUCCACCGCUAUGUCUAGCCAUGAAUAUCCUACUGCAAUAACAAAAUUGGUAGAUUACGAAUAUGUAAGGUUUAUAUAACAAUANNNNNNNNNNNNNNNNNNNNNNNNNNNNNNNNNNNNNNNNNNNNNNNNNNNNNNNNNNNNNNNNNNNNNNNNNNNNNNNNNNNNNNNNNNNNNNNNNNNNUUAGUAAGACUAAAUGGAGCUUUAGGUUUCGUAGUGUUAGGGCGAAGCCACAAUUCUGGCCUAAUGUUCAAUGCCUCCAAAUCUUUCGAGCAUUGUCAUUGUCUUUAGUUUUACCACUCGCAUCUAACACGGUGUAAAACAAGUUCUCAAAAACAUUAUUUUCGGUAUGCAUGACAUCUAUACAAUGACGAAUUGAAAGUGUGCCUCAAUACGGCAACUCAAACCAUAUAGGCAAGUGUGUCCAAUUAUGAGUUUUCCCGUACCCGGCUGCCCUCAAUUUACUGUGUUCCUUCCCCGGCAAAGGAAAAUCAAGUUGAUUCAACCACUCCAAGACCUCACUGCCCGACAGCCGACCAACAACCCCUUCUUCUGUAUCUUUCUGUUGAACUGUGUAGACAUCUUUCUGUAAUUGUGAUCAAGACGCAAGAAUCUACGAGCAGUGCCAAAGAAACUACAUUUCCGCCCAUGCUGCAACUGGUUGCCUUGCACAUCCCCCAUACACACUGGACAGGACGGCUUCCCGUGAGUUGACAAACCACUAACCAUCCCAAGAGCCGGAAAGUCAGUGAUAGUCCAUAAUAGGGCUGCUUUCAUCACAAAGUUCUCGCAUAUCGAUUUAUCAUACGUCUGAACCCCUGUCUCCCACAACAUCUUUAGUUCAUCCACUAACGGUUGAAGGUACACAUUAAGAUCUUUUGUAGGACUUUUAUCCCCCGGAAUGAGUAAAGUCAAAAACAAAUAGGGAUCCCUCAUGCACAUUGUCGGUGGAAGAUUAUAAGCGACCAUAACGACUGGCCAAACUGAGUACGGCUGGCUAAAAUUAUUAAAAGGGCAAAAGCCAUCAGUAGCCAUGCCAAGCCUAACAUUCCUAACUUCUUCCGCAAACUCAGGAUAAUUUACAUCAAAUCUCUUCCAUUCAUCUCCAUUCGCUGGGUGAGUCAGCUGACCAGGCACGACAUCCCUUGUUCGAUGCCAACUCAUAUGUUGAGCCGUAUGAGACGACAUGAAUAGCCGCUGAAGUCUCGGCGCAAGUGGAAAGUAUCGUAAGAUUUUCCUAGGAACAUGUUUCUCCUUCCUCCCAUGUUUUGUAACCUUGUAGUGCGAUAAGCUGCAUAUAUCACACUGUCCCUUAUCUCUGUCAUCCCCAUAGUAUAACAUGCAAUCCUGCUGACAAGCAUCGAUUUUCUGAUACCCCAUAUUUAACCCCUUGACCAUCUUCUUCACUUCGUAAUAAUUCGCAGGAAGAGUAUGAUCCUUGGGUAAGAACUGUCCAACUAUAGCGAGCAAAUCGUUGAAACCUCUCUCACUACAGUCGUGCUCAUUCUUGAAGUGUAAGAGCUUCGUCACUGCAGAAAGCUUGGUGUUCGUAUCAUUUCCCGGAUACAUAUAUGUAGGGAGAGUAUUAUUGCAUUUAUUAUAUAUUGAAAAUUGUGGCAAACUAAGCAAAUGCUACUUAGUUUAUUUUGCCAAUGAUAAUAAACUAAGUAAGUUGUACUUAGUUUAUGAGAAUUGUUAAUUAUUUGGAAUCUAUAGAGACUAUUGUUCGACAUUCACUUCUAGCUAUACUUAGUUUAUUUUGCCAUGAUGAUAAACUAAGUAAGUGGUACUUAGUUAUUGAAAAUUGUUAUUUGGAAUCUAUAGAGACUACUUAUAUAUUUUUUUAUUUUAAUUUGUAGUAUAUUAUAUAAUUGGCUUAUUUAUUUAUUAAAUAUACUUUAUUAAAUUAAAUUAAAUUAAAUUAAAUCAUUUUAUUUUAUUUUAUUUAUUAAACUAAAUUAAAUUAAAUUUUUUAUUACUUUUUAUUUUAUUUUGUAUUAUAUUAUAAAAGUUCUAAUUUAUUUUAAUUUAAUUUGAUUUCGUAAUUAAAAAUAUCUUAUUUUAUUUUAUUUUAUAUAUCUUGUAUUAUAUUAGAUAUAUUAUAUAAUUUUUAAUGUUUUUUAUUAAAUUAAAUUAAAUUAAUUAAAUUUAUUUUAAUUUAAAUUAAUUAAGAUUAUUUAAAUUAAAUUAAAUUUAUUUUAUUUUAUUAUUUUUAUUUAAUUUUAUUUUUUAUUAAAUUGUAUUUUAUUUAUUAGAUUAAAUCAAAGUUUUUUUAUUUUAUUCAAAUUAAUUUAAUUAAUUUUUUAUUUUAUUUUACUUUAUUUUGUAUUAUAUUAUGUUAUUUAUUUUAUUUUUAAAAUUUAUUUUAUUUAAUAAACUAUAUUAAAUUAUAUUUAUUUUAUUUUAUUUUAGUAGUAAGAAACUAAGUAAAUGGUACUUAGUUUAUGAUUUAUUAAUAUUGGGAAACUAAUAACUAAUUAAUACAAUAUAUACAUGCAAGUCUGCAAUUUCAUAAUUUUGACAGAAUUUCUGUCAUAAAUUCAGUCGUAAAUAAUAAAUAUAUCAAGAUUAAAAACAGUCCUAAAAUCAGUUACAUUAUGAUAAGGAACCCAAAUUUGAUAUCAAUAUUCUGCAAUUUCCAAAUUCCAAAUCAAACUCACAGCAACAAAUUCACAGCAAAAUCAAAAUCAAAAUUCCAAUUUCAGCAAUAUACAAUCCACAUGCAAAUUCACAGCAACAAAUUCACAGCAACAACAUAUUAUCCAAAUUGGGUUAAUCUCAUAUUCAAACUCAAACUAAACCUAAAACAAAUUAAGCCACAAAUUUCACAAUUUGCAACAAAUUAACCCUAAUAAUCUAAUACUUGGCAGAAAACUAACCUUGAAAUUGAAUUAAUGUGCAAACUAAUCGACGGUGGUGCCUCGUGGUGGUGCCUGGUGUUGACAGUGGUGCUUGGUGUUGGUCGUGGUGGUGGUGCCUGGUGGUGGUGACGGUGAUGCCUGAUGGUGGUGACGGUGGUGCCUGGUGUUGGUGGCGUCUAGCUACUGGUGGUGGCCGGAACCGCUCGACAAUGAUGGUUGUGGUGGAAGUACGUGGUGGUGGUAGUGGCAAUACGUGGUGGUGGUGGAAUCGAAGGUGGUGGUGGUGGCAGUACGUGGUACGGUGGUGGCAGUAUGGUGGUGGUGACGGCGCUGGUGGUGUACGGUGGUGGCAGUAAGGGUUUUAGAUCUGAGAAAAGUGAGAGAAACGCGUAAGAGAGAAAUAAGAGAAAGAGAAAUUAUAUAUCUGAAAAGUGAGAGAAACGAGGGGGCCGGAAGACGUAAGGGGUUUUAGUCUUAUUUUCGACGAAUUGUCCGUCGUAUGUACGUUCGUCGUAAUUUGUUAUCUUCGACUAACGGUUCCGUCGGAAUAAAUAGAAUUCGGUCGAAAAUAACGCUGGCGGGAACAUUGGCGCCAAUGGGAUACAUAUAUUUUCGACGAACACCCGUCGAAAUUAACGUAUUUUCCACUGAUUUAUCUACGACUGAAUAAUCCGUCGGAAUAGAUAUUAACGGUGAAGGAAUGAGUCCGUCGAACAUAGUGCCGUCGGAAUUAGCCGGUUUUCUUGUAGUGAGAGUUCCAAUUUAUAAUUAGUGUCCAAUUUGUGUGUGGUAUGUCUGUUUUUAUAUUGGGUUUAUGAUCUAAUUUAAUUGUGCCUUUUUCAGAUGCUAAGCGGUUGAUUGGUAGGAGAUUUGGUUCAGCUUUCUCAUAAAGUGAUAUCAAUCUAAUUUUAAGAAUUGAUUCUAGAUUUAGGUGUUAUUUUGCAGUUUCUAUAGACAUAAAUAGCCUCUGCAAUCUCGAAAUUAACGGUAAAUAACGUAAUUGCUUCACAGCUACUUUGCUCCUCUUAGCAUUUGUAUCUAUUUGUGAAUUCUCUGGUACAACCAUCUCAGUCUGCUUCCAUCUCAAUGAUUUACAAAAUGUACAAGACUCUAAUUUUUCAUUCUCCCUCCAAAAGAGCAUACAAUCAUUCUCGCAUGCAUCAAUCUUCUCAUAACCAAACCCUAAAUUUCCAACCAUUUUCUUCAUUUCAUAAAAAUUAUCAGGCAAGUUUGCAAAUGAUGGAAAUGAUGACUUGAACUUACGGAGCAAACCAUCAAAGGACACGUCAGUCCAUUUGCUAACAUUUUUAUGAUUGAAAAGCCAUACAAUGAAUGAAAGGACAGUCUCAAUUUCAUAUCCAGGAUAUAAUGGUUGAUUGGCCUCUGACUUGUACUUUUGGUAUUUUAUAGCUUCAGCUGAUGAUUCCACACCGUGAUCCCUAAAUAUAUCAUUUACCAUCUCAGGCAUACGAUGAUCAUCUUCGGAUUGUGAUGGUUCGUCGUGAACAUCAUCAUUACUCACAUUCCUGACAAUCACAUCUUCCCCUUGAUGCACCCAAUUCGUGUAGCCAAACAUAAAUCCAUCACAAAUCAAAUGUUCCCGAAUAAUAGCUCGAAUCUGGUAUCGGUCAUUUACACAAUUCUUACAUGGACAAGGAAUUCUUCCCGUUACCAUGCCCACUUUUUUGAAACCAAAGUCCAAAAAUCUCUCUAUGCCUGCAAGAUAUUCUCUAGAAUAUCUUGGUAAUUCCAUCCACGUUUUAUCCAUAAUAUUAUGUCCCUAAAUCAAAUUGAACAACCAUCAGAAUGAUAUUGCGUAUAGAAACCUAUGAUAAUUAAUUAUCAUAAUUAAUUACCUUGAACCCCAACCAAACUCCCAGUUCACUCAAACAAAACAAAAAAGGUGUAUAUAAGAUUUAUGCCAAGUCCCCUUCCCACCACCCAGGUUGAUUAAAGAUAAUAGAGAGAAAUAUACUAAAACAAGUACUAAAUCACUAGCAAGCUAUAGAUUUCAAACUAACAUUUGGUGUUAGAUUUACUUUUAUGUAGACCCCAUAAAAUAGUACCACCACGGGCAAAGACACCUGUUCUUUUCAAAACUUAGGGCUUGUUAAAAUAGCAAGGUUUUUUAGGGCAAUUAAGCAUACAACUAAAACAAGUACAAGAUUUUGUUACUCGACCCUUUUCACCCACUUUCAUAUAUCGUAUAUAGAAUAGGAAUUUAGCCCUUUAUAAAAGCAGAACUUCCUAGUUUUAACGAUUCACCCCGCAGGCCAAGAAUCCUUAGAAACCUUACGAGAAAUUUGGUUACUUGUAUAAUUUUUUACCAACUACUAGAUGACUUUGAUAUUGCUUGAUUUGUUACUUGUAUAAUUUUUUAGGCCAUGCUAGCUAUUUGAGUGCUCCUCAUACCUUUAAAGUGGAUAGUUCAACUACUACCAUUAAAUAACAGUUUUACAACAAACAAAGUCAGCCCCCUUAACAGAUAAUACUGCCAAAAUGACAGACAAUAUGUUGUUAUGCCUGCCUACUACUUUAUAAAACAAAACAAUAAAAAAUUUAGCGCAACAGUUAGCUUCUCUGUAAGGUGGGAACAACCAGGGGUCUUGCUGGUAAUUGAGGAUUCAAUGAUAUUGUCCAGUGCCAAGUACCAGCGGCUACAAGGUUAUCCAAGGGAACACAAAGCUUGAACACCAACAAGACUACUAAGAACAAUUCAACUAUAUUUCAAGGACCUUUGAAACCAUACUGCAACACAUCAUUUUGCCAAUAAUAUUAUACCCAUUCCACAACAUGUCAUUAUUUUAACUUGCAAAAGCAUUUAAAAAGGACAGAAAGGUCAAGAGUAGAACCCACAACCGAAAAAGAAUAUGGGAUCACUCUGUCAAAUUGAUAUGCAUACCNNNNNNNNNNNNNNNNNNNNNNNNNNNNNNNNNNNNNNNNNNNNNNNNNNNNNNNNNNNNNNNNNNNNNNNNNNNNNNNNNNNNNNNNNNNNNNNNNNNNUAUAUAUAUAUAUAUAUAUAUAUGUAACUACUGCUUUUACAAGCUAGUUGCUUAUGCGAAAAUUUGCAGCAUCAGUUUCUUCCCAUCAAAUUUAAUUGGUAGCUGCUACCAAUGUCAUAUGAAUAUGACAUUGAACCCGAACCACAGUGACUCACAAAACACCCCACAGAAGGUGUCCCAAAAUUAGAAAAUUUAGGGCUUGUUAGAGGGAGGAGAGAAAUAGAGAAAAUCAUAACAACUAAGGGAUAAAUAAAAUUGAAAACCUAAAGAAUGAAAUUAUACCUGCUCAAACAGCCAGUCAAUAUGAUCCUUUCAAGCCGGACGGAGAGAUGGAGUGAGACGAAGUCCGACGAAGUCCGGCGUACACGAGAUGAUGCAGAGGGAGUGAGAAUGUUGAAGAUCUUGAUCGAGUUACUAAGAUGUUAAUCGAAUGAUUAAGAUGUCGAUUUGGGGGAAAGAAUAUUAGAGAUCUGUGACUGAUAAAAUGCCCCUUUAACCCCCGUAUAUGAUCCUUUCUACGCCUCCCUUAUAUGACCCUCGUUAAUUAAAAUCCUUAAAAAAAAUUCCUAUACCGACGACCAACUUGUGACCCUCGCAAUAGACUACCUUCAGGGUCCUAUACCGACGGUCAGGAAGUGAGCGUCGCUAUAGAUACCCUAUAGCGAUGGUUCCGUGCCGACCGUCGCUAUAUCUCGUCGCUAUAUGUUGAAUUUCUAGUAGUGUAUAUGCUCUGAUUAUUCUAUAUCUUUUGUUGAUUAGGGGCUUGACUCCAAGAUUGGUAAUGUAUAUGAUCCAAGGAGCACUCUUCUUUGCAUCAUAUGAAUCUUUCGAGAGGUUACUUUAACUAGAGUCCCAACCUCCACGUAGUGCUCAAACAAUUCAAUAUGAACCAAACAUGAAAGACGAUUCUACAGAUUAGCCAAAAGCAUGAGUGUUCCAACACAUUUUUUUAGGCUUCGGAUCUCACUUGUAAUUCUGUUGUGUUAUUAGCAAUGUUUGUACCUAUUAUCUGACUCACUUGUAAUUCUGUUGUAUCAGUAACAAUUUUUUUGAGAGGAUAUUUAAAAGAAAUUAUCAGAAAUAAAUAUGAUAAUAAUAUAAGGCUUGUAUUUUUUUACUCGUGUGAGUUUUAUUAUUUUACCCUAAAGACUAUCUCAUAUUUUAUUUCUUUCUUUGAUUUGGAUAUUGAUUCUUUUUGUGAUUUAGAAUUGAUUGCAUAUUAGAUUGCAUGAAUAAUUGACAAUUUCGGUGAUUUAUAUUUUAUUUCUUCUAUUAUUGUCUAUUAUUUCCUCUCUGUGAUUUGUAUUGUAUUCCUUCUAUUAUUUUUUAUUAUUUGUGUGCAUAUUGGAUUGUUUACGUCAGUUUCUGUGAUAUAUAUUGGUUUGUUGGUUUCUGUGAUAUAUAUUGGUUUGGUUUGUGAUAUAUAUUGGUUUGUUGCGUCAUAUCCGCUUGUUAUAUUUGGCAGUUUU
This 11200-nucleotide long non-coding RNA is filed under the name Panax ginseng (ginseng). RNAcentral's name for it is "long non-coding RNA (PGIN_LNC009955)". Lineage: Eukaryota; Viridiplantae; Streptophyta; Magnoliopsida; Apiales; Araliaceae. The record is from RNAcentral.